RNAcentral lists this long non-coding RNA (640 nucleotides) under Mustela putorius furo (domestic ferret). RNAcentral describes it as "lncRNA (ENSMPUG00000027899.1)". The record is from RNAcentral. Lineage: Eukaryota; Metazoa; Chordata; Mammalia; Carnivora; Mustelidae.
GAGAGAAAGAGUCAGCCCACGCUGGAGGGAAGGUUAGAGGGAGGGAGAGAAUCUCGAGCAGACUCCCUGCUGAGGGCAGAGCCCGAAGACUCAGUGUCACAACCCUGAGAUCACCAUCAGAGCUGCAAUCAAGAGUCUGAUAGUUAACUAACUGAGCCAUCCAGUGACACUGGGCUCUGAUCUGAGUUCUAAAGCCACUGGGCUCUCAGCAACACCCUGCCUGGUUGGGAGGCAGAGUACCUGGUCCCUCCUUCAGGCCAAGUCACUCAUCUGCCAAAUAUAAGAGGCAGCGAGGUUUGUACCAAGAGUCUCGAAGAUUUCUCUGGACCCUGAGGUGUUGUGAAUCUAUUUGUUGCUGUCAUGAUCUCGGAGUCUUGGGAUCAGGCCCUGCAUGGGGCCAUGUGUUGAGCUCCAUGCUCAGCAUGGAGUCUGCUUGGGAUUCUCUCUCUCAAAUAAAUAAGUGAAUACAAUAAAAAAAAAAAGAAGAAAGAAAGAAAACAGAAAACAUUGACUUUCCAAAUGGGAACUGGACACCAACAUUACUGAAGGUAAUCUGAGGAAGAGGAUAAAACCAAAGUUGCCCACAGGAAAUGAACUGAGAGAACAGAAUCUAGAAUUUUAAAUGUGUAAAUCAUAUCCA